UACGGACGCAUUAUUUCUUUGGUCGGUGUAACUAUAAUAAAGUGGUCGUAAGAUACAUCGACAUACAAAAACCAACCGAAAAAACUGUCUGACAAGCUGACUGACCAACAAAGUAAAGAAAGUAUCAAUUGCACUAAAGAAAACACUAAUCCGAUUAUCUUUUAAUAAGAAAAAAAAAACUGCUGGUCACAGCAAAAACAGACAAAAAAGUAGUUCGUGUUCCAAAAAAAAGAACCAAAUCCAUUUUGAAUAAGGUGAAAUAAAUGUGUUUUGUUUAUAUUCGUUAAAUUUGUGAAAGAAAAGGCAGGUGUUUUGUUCGCAAUAUAGCAUUGUACGCAUAAAAAUAGAAGCGUUGCAUUUUUUCCACGUUAAAUACAGGACUUGAUCUAUUGUUAACGGUGUGUUUUUGGUGUAUUUUUUUGUUGUUGUUCAUUUUCCUUUGAAAUUUUAUAGAUUUUUGUGCCGAUUCACGCUUUUCUCAUCCAACUACGUUGGUUGACGAGAUAAACAUUAAAUGUGUCGUUGAAAUUAAAAAAUACCGGCACAACGUUUGAUAGAAAGAAGAAUCUAACAAACAAAAGACCGUAGACAUGACAAAAUUCGCGACAAAAACUAUGAAUUGAAUGAACAACUGACUGAAGGGGAAAAUAAAGUUGAAAAAAAGCACAGCAUCUGUUAUUGUUCUUCCGAUGAGCGACGGUUCGGGUGAUUGAACAAAAUCAGUGGAAAAGAGUUGAGUGAACGGUUCGAUAAUAAUGAUGUAGUGAAACCGAAACGAAAUAAAAAAAAUGUUUAACUCACCUUGCACUGGACAAUAUUUUAAAGCAUAGUUCUGAAUAGUUAUAAAACAGCAAGACAUCAGGUGAAAAAAGAGCAGUGAAUUGCUAUUAAAAACAACCUCGAAAGUUGUAAUUGUGUUAACUUAAAACGAAAAAAAGAGAGAAAGAGAGAGUGUGUGUUGCAGUUUGAGUUCAAAAUAUUGCACGUGAUCAGAGGGUAGGAGUGAUGUACCGUAAAAGUUUAUUUGUCACAGUUUGAAUGACAUGAAUUUCAGCCGUUACUGAACGUCAUUAACUUUGUGUUCAUUUUGUUAUUGAAUUCAUAAACAAUAAGCAAGUAAAUUAAACUUUAAUUACUAUUUAUGAGUUGAUGAACAAAAGCAACGAGGACAAAAAGAAUAACACAACACAUCAGCCACAAGAGUUUUAUGAACGAAAUCAUGAAAAAAGCCGAACGUUCUUUUCAUUAAAAUGUAUCAUUGUACACCGACGCACGACGACCAAAGCAACUGAACGAGCUUUAACACACAGAAUACCAGAGAAUCAAUGGUGAGAAGAAAGUGUGUAAUUGUAUGCAUUGAAGGUACAAAAAACAACUUCUCUAUAGAGGCACUGUUGUCGCAUAUACGUUGAGCUGAAUUCGGCGGUGCGACAAUCCAACAACAGCCAACAGUUAAAAAAAAAAGAACAAAAAACGAAACCAUCGAUUAUCACAACGUCGCAAGCAAUUAGUAAACAACGAAAUUAUGGCAAUUAUAGCAUUGGUCGCGUGUCUCGUUGCUAUUUUGCACACACUGCUUCAGUUGCAAGUGACGAGUGCUGUUAGCUGGGAGGACUGGUGGACUUAUGAUGGUAUUUCAGGACCAGCAUUUUGGGGUCUGAUCAAUCCAGAAUGGUCGCUAUGCAAUAAAGGAAGACGUCAAUCGCCCGUCAAUUUAGAACCACAACGCUUACUAUUCGAUCCGAAUUUAAGGCCUUUACAUAUAGAUAAGCAUCGGAUAACUGGCGUACUCGUUAAUACCGGCCACAGUGUUUUAUUUCGUGUGGAUUCAAACAGUAGUCAGAUUUACGAUGAUUCUCGUUUAGCUAUAAAUAUUACGGGUGCUUCUUUGUCAUAUCGUUAUCGAUUCGAAGAGAUGCACAUCCAUUAUGGGCUACACGAUCAAUAUGGAUCUGAGCAUAGUGUCAGCAGUUAUACAUUCCCGGCGGAGAUACAAAUAUUUGGUUAUAAUUCACAACUCUACACAAAUUUUACGGAUUCAAUGAAUCGAGCUCAAGGGAUUGUCGGCAUUUCAGUAUUGUUACAGAAAGGCGAACUAUCGAAUGCCGAACUGAGGAUACUCACCGAAGAGCUGAACCGAAUUCGUUAUGGUGAUAAUGAAGCUAGAAUAAAGCACAUAUCUAUACGUGGAUUGUUGCCUGACACCGAACACUAUAUGACAUAUGAAGGUUCAACGACAGCGCCCGGUUGCCAUGAAACUGUCACCUGGAUUGUACUAAAUAAACCGAUCUACAUCACAUUGCAACAGUUGCAUGCAUUGAGGCGGCUCAUGCAAGGAACACCCGAACAUCCAAAAGCACCAUUGGGAAAUAAUUUUCGACCACCGCAACCAUUAUUACAUCGACCUGUACGUACAAAUAUUGACUUUCGAACGAAACAAAAUGGAAAACUAUGUCCGAGCAUGUAUCGCGACGUUCAUUACAAAGUGAACAUUCACGAAAAUGCCAUCGUUCGCCACAACAAAGACACACAUUUAAUUAAAUACGACUCAUUUUCCAAAGGGAAUUACGAUUAAUUGGGUUAUAUGUGUAUGGCGUUACGUCAUUUAGACAACAAUAAAAACCAAUAUAGUAAAAUUCAAAUAGUUGGAAAGAGCACUAAAACGUACGUCACAACAAAAUUGAGAAAAAGAUUAUGAACGAAAAACAAAUAGCAACAUGAAAACAUUAUGAAAACUAUAAAUGAUUUUGUUUUUAAUCAAAAAUACUAACAACACGAAUUGAAACAAGCAAACAAGUGAAAUAGCUUUCAAUAUAUAUUGAAGAGAUGAAAAAGAAUUAUAUUUGCAUGGAAAAAAACAACAUCUCAAUUGUUGUUUACUUCGUCGUCUCUCAAUGUGCUUGCCAUUACAAAUAAGAGUGACGUUGGAUUUAGACUUAAGAAGAAUGGCGUUUAAAAAAGAGACGAAAUAAUGGCAUGAAGCUGGAAAAAGAAACUGAAUGAACUUGUCUAUGGAACGUCACAUCAAAAAAGCGAACAAUCCAAUUUCUUCCAUUGUUUCCUUCGUGGGUGCUUGGAGUUCACAAUGAUGCCGUCGUCGUCAUCGUCAUCACUGCCGCUGCUGUUGCUGCGUCGAUAAAAAUACAAACAUUCAAGUCGUAUCGUCGAAAAAUAUUACAUGCAAAUUCUAUCAGAAACACAAACGGCCAAAAAAAAAAAACAACAGAACCGAAGCGAACAUAAAUCAAAGACGAACGAAAGCGAGAAAAGCAUUUGUGCAUGUCUGUCGGGUGUUGGCUGCUACAUGCACAUCGAAACACAAACGAAAGAACAAAAAAUUACUAUCGUAUCCAUUGCAUUCAACAUGAAACGGUUCGAAAUCAAACAAUUUAAAAUGCAAAAGUGAAAGGGAGAGGGCGAACAUUUUUUUUUGUUAUCUCUCACUCAACAUCCUCAAGUAUCACAUAGAGUCAAAGAUUCAUUCUGUCAUAUGAACGAGAUGCAAUACAGUUGUACCAAACAACUUCCGCUGUGUGUAAAUCUGCCUGAAUCUCUGUGUGCUAUGCACAUCUUACUCUAUCUACUAUUUGCUUAAUAAUUUCAAAAUUUCCAAGCAAGGAACAUCACAGCAAAAAGAAUUUUGAAUAUGUGCCGUUCUCAGCAUUGUGAGCAACAAAAAAAAGAAAGAAAGAAAAACUGAACAAAGAAUAAUAAGAAGAAAACGAAAGACGCUUCAUAACAAAAGAUAGGAAAGUAAAUUGAAGACGACAAGUAGUCAAGAAAUGUAAUGGAAUUUUCUCAAAUACUUCCACUUGUAAGUUAAACAGAAUGCAUUUUCGCCCGAAAAUUCAUCCAAGUUCGAGUGAAAGACACAUAUAAACACAGAGGAAAACAUCCACAACCAAAGAUGGCAUUGGUACGAUGAAAAUUUUUAAGUAAUUUUUAAAGGAUUAGGUAAUAAAAUGAAUUUAUUGUGAUUAUAAUUGAUCACAACAUGUAAAAGAAUUUGUGAAUUUGCAAGAGCUCUUUCUCUGCCAAUAAAAUAGUACAUGUUAAGGUAUUGAAUCCAGUUUCAGUGAAAAUGCCAUUCCAAGUGUUUCAAUUUCAUUAUUCAAUGCAUUUGAAGAGUGCUUCCGUCAAUUUUGCAUCGAUAUUAUUGCUUUGAAUCGUCUGUCACAACUAUAUCACAUUUCAGUUCAAGUUCUUUUAGUUUCGAUUAGUUUUUUCCAUUUCUCUAUGACAAUUAAAUUGCGUUGAAAAAUGCAUUUUCUUCCAACUUGACAGAUUCU
Molecule: RNA transcript, 4289 nt
Organism: Contarinia nasturtii (swede midge)
Lineage: Eukaryota; Metazoa; Arthropoda; Insecta; Diptera; Cecidomyiidae
Gene: CARPB
Gene name: carbonic anhydrase-related protein 10
Exons: 12
Source: RefSeq, a predicted model, not a curated record